This is a long non-coding RNA of Salvia splendens (bonfire salvia), 529 nucleotides long. RefSeq lists it as uncharacterized. The transcript is spliced from 3 exons. The record is from RefSeq and is a predicted model, not a curated record. Lineage: Eukaryota; Viridiplantae; Streptophyta; Magnoliopsida; Lamiales; Lamiaceae.
UCAAUGCAUCUCUCUCACCAAAAUCUCAACCCCAUCCCAACAAACCCUAGAAUCUACACGACAAAACACCCAAAUCUCAACCCCAUCACCAAAAUCUCUACCCAAUCGCCCAAACCAUACAAAUCUGUAAACAUUAGUCGUCUCCUCCACUAUCUCAACCUCGUCUGCACCAAAAAUCGAGUUUUCCAUAAAAACUGAUUCCUCUACCACAAAACCUUGGCAGAAUUCAAAACUUGACGAAGAAGGAUAACAAAAAAGCUACUACAACCAUGGUCAACACUAGAGCCUCUGGAUCCGCACCUCGUGACGGAAAAGUGUAUGAGAGAACAUCCGCGAAGACAAAGCUACAAAAGAUCCCAAAGGCUCCGAGAGAUGGAAGUCAACAUGGGUGAGAGAAGGCCAUUGGAAUUGUGGACUAUCGACUAGAUAUAAGGGUGCGCUUAAGUAUUUAAGAGCUAAAAAGUAUUGUGUUGAAGUUGGCCGAAAAUAAUCACAGCUCCCUUUCCAAUAAAACAUCGACAUCCAAACA